This 367-nucleotide long non-coding RNA is filed under the name Brassica rapa (field mustard). Its description in RNAcentral is "long non-coding RNA (BRAP_LNC005664)". Lineage: Eukaryota; Viridiplantae; Streptophyta; Magnoliopsida; Brassicales; Brassicaceae. The record is from RNAcentral.
AACACUUAAAAAGAGAAUCCAAUGGCUAGAAAAUAUAUGAGGAAACAAGUGCAUUGUCCUUGAACAGUCGCAAUCGAGUGGAUAGGAACAAGAUACCAAAGUAAAGGUCAGCGAGAUAAGAGAGCGAUAAAAAAAAGAAGAACACCUACAAGCUUUUACACUAUAUAUGUAAACGUCACAUAAAGUUAAAAAAAAAAAAGAAGGAACAGAAUCUGUGCCUGUGAGAAAUGUUUUUUUUUAAUAAGGCCUGUGAGAAAUGGUACCCACUGACACUUCUUUAGCUCCAACUAAAGCUCAAAGACUAGGACUCGUUUACUCCCAUUUUAGAGCAAGACAUUAUAACUCUAUGAAUCACGCAGCAACAAAG